This 253-nucleotide ribosomal RNA is filed under the name uncultured bacterium. RNAcentral's name for it is "partial 16S ribosomal RNA". It matches the Rfam family "Bacterial small subunit ribosomal RNA", at positions 524 to 776 of the family's 1533-position model. The record is from RNAcentral.
UACAGAGGUCCCAAGCGUUGUUCGGCUUCACUGGGCGUAAAGGGUGCGUAGGCGGUCGGGUAAGUCUGAUGUGAAAUCUCACAGCUUAACUGUGAAACUGCAUUGGAUACUAUUCGGCUUGAGAGUUGGAGGGGGGACUGGAAUUCUUGGUGUAGCAGUGAAAUGCGUAGAUAUCAAGAGGAACACCAGUGGCGAAGGCGAGUCCCUGGACAACUUCUGACGCUGAGGCACGAAAGCUAGGGGAGCAAACAGG